Molecule: non-coding RNA, 1396 nt
Organism: Phascolarctos cinereus (koala)
Lineage: Eukaryota; Metazoa; Chordata; Mammalia; Diprotodontia; Phascolarctidae
Source: RefSeq, a predicted model, not a curated record
CCUUUGCCAAGAAAACCCCAGAUGGGGGUACAAAGAGUCAGACAUAACUAAAAUAACUCAGCAACAGUAUGCAAGAUACAUACAGACUAAAGGAGUGGUCAGCUGAUAAUUUGUGCCAUACUUAUAGAGUGAGAACACACGUAAAUUUCUGACUUCUCAUUUGAGGGAGUCAGGGAUUCCCUCCAGUCUCUAGCUGUUUUCCGUACCUUCGUGGGUUGAUUUUCACUGUCUUUUUUUUUUCUCUUAUCCCCUCUUUCUUCACUUAAAUUCUCUCUGACUUCACAAUCUGAUGGUAACACCAUCUUUCACCCCAUCUUGCAUGUUUUAAUCUUUGCCAUAAUUUCUGAUUCUUCCCACUUUUAUACUCUGUCAUCUUCCGAUAUCUAGUCAGUUACCGCCCCAUCUUUUCUCCGCUAUCAUUUCUACCUUCAGUCCUUCCCCAGAAGUAUACCCACCAACCUGUUUCCUUCCCAACCCUUAAACAGCUCCUGAAAUCCAUCCUCUCCUUAGAACACAAUCAUUUUUCCUUUUUUGUUUGUUUUUUCAGUCACAUCUGACUCUUUGUGACCCCAUUUGGGAUUUUCUUGGCAAAGACACUGGAGUGAUUCUCAGUGAGCAAAGAAAGCCUGAGUCCUGUCCCUUGACCUAUCCAAAGAUGGAUCUUCUUCCAAGGUCAGCAGAGUUACUCCAUAUAUUUGAAAGUAUUAACAUGGAAUCCCAGGACUGGGAGGAGCCUUAACGCCUUCAUUUUGCAGUUUCUUUCUUCGUGGAACCUCUGGACUGCUUCAUGGGAUCCCCCUCUUUCAAAGACAGUUUGAGAGGAGAUGUCCUCCAAAGAGACUGAUGAAACUCAUGUGCAUCUCUGCUGCGUGUGCCCACUCUCCCAUCUCACUGGAAACCAGGACUCCACUCCUAGCUUCUCCCCUCUGCAGCCAUCGCUACAUGGGUUGGCCUCAUGCGCACAGAUAGCCUGAGCUGCCAUGCUCCCAGAAGUCCCUGCCGAUGGAGGAGUCACUGCCACCACCUGCCCAUCCCCAGGGAAGCCUGGAUCCUAUGGACAGUGCUGAGCAUGAGUCAGGGAAGAAGACACCUGUGCUCUUUGGAGCAGUUUAGAACCGGAAGCCAUUGGCUGACGGUCCACAAAGGAAUGCCUGGAUGAGCUGCGGGAUCUCAGAGAUCAGACAUGGGCUGUACAUGUACUUAGCACACACAUACUUGUAUACAUUCAGCACAUUCAGCCAACCCCACCCACUCCUUACCUUUUCAGCGGCAGCAUUCACACCUUAGAAAUUGGCAAAAGCCACCGAUGGGAGCUUGACUUGUUUCUCCUUCAUUCUCAGAGAGGACCAUGGUGUCAGGAAGGUGAUGUCAUGACUUGCAAGUGAAUUGGAUUUAA